Molecule: ribosomal RNA, 331 nt
Filed under: Pseudomonas sp. E11_ICE10
Lineage: Bacteria; Pseudomonadati; Pseudomonadota; Gammaproteobacteria; Pseudomonadales; Pseudomonadaceae
Description: bacterial SSU rRNA
Rfam family: Bacterial small subunit ribosomal RNA
Source: RNAcentral
GCAGCAGUGGGGAAUUAUUGGAUCAAUGGGCGAAAGCCUGAUCCAGCCAUGCCGCGUGUGUGAAGAAGGUCUUCGGAUUGUAAAGCACUUUAAGUUGGGAGGAAGGGCAGUUACCUAAUACGUGACUGUCUUGACGUUACCGAACAGAAUAAGCACCGGCUAACUCUGUGCCAGCAGCCGCGGUAAUACAGAGGGUGCAAGCGUUAAUCGGAAUUACUGGGCGUAAAGCGCGCGUAGGUGGUUUGUUAAGUUGAAUGUGAAAUCCCCGGGCUCAACCUGGGAACUGCAUCCAAAACUGGCAAGCUAGAGUAUGGUAGAGGGUAGUGGAAUU